RNAcentral lists this ribosomal RNA (254 nucleotides) under uncultured bacterium. RNAcentral describes it as "partial 16S ribosomal RNA". It matches the Rfam family "Bacterial small subunit ribosomal RNA", at positions 524 to 776 of the family's 1533-position model. The record is from RNAcentral.
UACGUAGGGUGCGAGCGUUGUCCGGAAUUAUUGGGCGUAAAGAGCUUGUAGGCGGUUUGUCGCGUCUGCUGUGAAAUUUCGGGGCUCAACCCCGAACUUGCAGUGGGUACGGGCAGACUAGAGUGUGGUAGGGGAGACUGGAAUUCCUGGUGUAGCGGUGAAAUGCGCAGAUGUCAGGAGGAACACCGAUGGCGAAGGCAGGUCUCUGGGCCAUAACUGACGCUGAGAAGCGAAAGCAUGGGGGAGCGAACAGG